CCGACCGGCGCACGGGUGAGUAACGCGUAUGCAACUUACCUAUCAGAGGGGGAUAACCCGGCGAAAGUCGGACUAAUACCGCAUGAAGCAGGGGCCCCGCAUGGGGAUAUUUGCUAAAGAUUCAUCGCUGAUAGAUAGGCAUGCGUUCCAUUAGGCAGUUGGCGGGGUAACGGCCCACCAAACCGACGAUGGACAGGGGUUCUGAGAGGAAGGUCCCCCACAUUGGUACUGAGACACGGACCAA
Molecule: ribosomal RNA, 244 nt
Filed under: uncultured bacterium
Lineage: Bacteria
Description: partial 16S ribosomal RNA
Rfam family: Bacterial small subunit ribosomal RNA
Source: RNAcentral